UCCAGACUCCUACGGGAGGCAGCAGUGGGGGAUAUUGGACAAUGGGGGGAACCCUGAUCCAGCGACGCCGCGUGAGUGAAGAAGUAUUUCGGUAUGUAAAGCUCUGUCAGCAGGGAAGAAAGCAAUGACGGUACCUGACCAAGAAGCCCCGGCUAACUACGUGCCAGCAGCCGCGGUAAUACGUAGGGGGCAAGCGUUAUCCGGAUUUACUGGGUGUAAAGGGAGCGUAGACGGCGAUGCAAGCCAGAUGUGAAAGCCCGGGGCUCAACCCCGGGACUGCAUUUGGAACUGUGUGGCUGGAGUGUCGGAGAGGCAGGCGGAAUUCCUAGUGUAGCGGUGAAAUGCGUAGAUAUUAGGAGGAACACCAGUGGCGAAGGCGGCCUGCUGGACGAUGACUGACGUUGAGGCUCGAAAGCGUGGGGAGCAAACAGGAUUAGAUACCCGAGUAGC
This 450-nucleotide ribosomal RNA is filed under the name uncultured bacterium. RNAcentral's name for it is "bacterial SSU rRNA". It matches the Rfam family "Bacterial small subunit ribosomal RNA", at positions 330 to 794 of the family's 1533-position model. The record is from RNAcentral.